Paramacrobiotus metropolitanus is the source of this 840-nucleotide long non-coding RNA. RefSeq lists it as uncharacterized. The record is from RefSeq and is a predicted model, not a curated record. The transcript is spliced from 3 exons. Lineage: Eukaryota; Metazoa; Tardigrada; Eutardigrada; Parachela; Macrobiotidae.
CUUAAACUUUUUUUUUAAAAAUGGUUCGAAAGCGAAAAGCGGAAGAGUCAGUUGGGAGAUCAGCCAGAAGAACGAGACGGUAUGAUUCUGGGGGUAUGUAUCGUCCAGAGAAAAUCAAAAGCAAACAAUCAAAUAGAAAUUCAAUUCCAUGGCCCUCAAAUGUCAAUCAGUCGCCACGGGAAGGCGGUAACCGUGCACGGAAACAAAUCCGUGGAACCGACUUACCACAACAAGUGAGUGAAGCAGCUUUCCGUCGGGAGACCCAAAAGAAACAGCAAACUGCUCGCCAAGCAAGAAGAAGAGGCAGUAUGACGUCCGCACAACGACAAUCCAAAAAGCGCCGUGACCGGGAGGCCGCUGCCCGCAGACGAGAAAGGGAACAUCAUCAAGGCGAUGCCGCAGCUCACGAUCGCACACGGCAACUCAAUAAUAUCAUGAAAAUGUUUGCCCGAUACCUAGUCGUGGAUGUGAACAUACCCCUAUCCAACAAUCGUUACUUACCAAGCAUUCGUCUGCAGCUGCAGGCUUGAAAUGCGGUAAUUCCCGUAACGACAAUUACCCAUCUCAGAUUGCUGCAUAACUCCAGUGGUUCGGAGACUCAGAAUUCCUUCUACGAUUACCGUUUUUCGGAGGAACUUGUUUGGCCUAAAAGAUUAGAACUCCUUGGUUAACGAAACCAUUAGUAGCUGCACCGUUGACGAACACCUUAAAGUCUCAACGUAUAUACCACCUACUCCAUGGCAGAAAGAAUAAAAUAAGCUUCUAUUUCGGAAAUGAUAUUCAUUGUUUUUCUACCUCCACGUUUUGAUUUAAACUGAAUUAUCUUGGCUCGCUGAAAUU